UGACGAUGAUGAGAGGAAUAUAAUUCCCUGACUUGGUAUUACCAUCCUGUGAUGGCAAUGACCAAGGUGUGAUUGGAUUUAAUCUUCUCUCUGAGUUG
Megalops cyprinoides (Indo-Pacific tarpon) is the source of this 98-nucleotide small nucleolar RNA. RefSeq annotates it as Z30 small nucleolar RNA. The record is from RefSeq and is a predicted model, not a curated record. The transcript has a single exon. NCBI's taxonomy places the organism in Eukaryota, Metazoa, Chordata, Actinopteri, Elopiformes, Megalopidae.